UACGUAGGGGGCAAGCGUUGUCCGGAUUUAUUGGGCGUAAAGAGCGUGUAGGCGGUCAGGUAGGUCCGUCGUGAAAACUCGAGGCUCAACCUCGAGACGCCGAUGGAAACCAUCUGACUAGAGUCCGGAAGAGGAGAGUGGAAUUCCUGGUGUAGCGGUGAAAUGCGCAGAUAUCAGGAAGAACACCCGUGGCUAAGGCGGCUCUCUAGUACGGUACUGACGCUGAGACGCGAAAGCGUGGGGAGCGAACAGG
RNAcentral lists this ribosomal RNA (253 nucleotides) under uncultured bacterium. Its description in RNAcentral is "partial 16S ribosomal RNA". It matches the Rfam family "Bacterial small subunit ribosomal RNA", at positions 524 to 776 of the family's 1533-position model. The record is from RNAcentral.